RNAcentral lists this ribosomal RNA (253 nucleotides) under uncultured bacterium. RNAcentral's name for it is "partial 16S ribosomal RNA". It matches the Rfam family "Bacterial small subunit ribosomal RNA", at positions 524 to 776 of the family's 1533-position model. The record is from RNAcentral.
UACGGGGGGUGCGAGCGUUGUCCGGAAUCACUGGGCGUAAAGGGUGCGUAGGCGGCUUUGUAAGUCAGUGGUGAAAUAUGUCAGCUUAACUGAGAGGGUGCCAUUGAUACUGCAGAGCUUGAGUACAGAUGAGGUAGGCGGAAUUGACGGUGUAGCGGUGAAAUGCUUAGAUAUCGUCAAGAACACCUAUAGCGAAGGCAGCUUACUAGGCUGUAACUGACGCUGAGGCACGAAAGUGUGGGGAUCAAACAGG